AUGCGCCUGGCCUGGCCUGGCCUUGCCAUGCCAGCCGUCCGUCGCCACGUCACGCCAUACGCAGCCUCACCAGCCGGAACCAACCAGCGCCUGUACGAGGAAAACGACAAGGAGACGCCGAGGCCGCCAGCGUGCUACCUGCUCUUCUCUUCUUCUACCUCCUCCGAUCCUCCCCACACGAGUUCGGCUCAACAACGCCACGCCCGAAAGCGACGGCGGACAAAUCCGAGUUUUGCAGGGCGUCCUCCUCCGGCCACCACAGCCCGGAGCGGCCUUCUCUCCUCAGACAAAUCCUCCGUCUGUCCGCACCCGCGUGCGAAUAUACGUGAACGCACGCGCUGCUGCACUGGGCUGGCGCUGCCAUAA
RNAcentral lists this ribosomal RNA (366 nucleotides) under Triticum aestivum (bread wheat). RNAcentral describes it as "partial small subunit ribosomal RNA". Lineage: Eukaryota; Viridiplantae; Streptophyta; Magnoliopsida; Poales; Poaceae. The record is from RNAcentral.